GAGGUGGGAGUAUUGCUUAAGCCUGGAAGUUUGAGGCUGCAGUGAGCUGUGAUCAUACCACUGCACUCCAGCCUGAGUAACAGAGUGAGACCCUGUCUC
Cercocebus atys (sooty mangabey) is the source of this 99-nucleotide microRNA precursor. NCBI's taxonomy places the organism in Eukaryota, Metazoa, Chordata, Mammalia, Primates, Cercopithecidae. The record is from Ensembl.